GCCACUGGGCCUGGGUCCUAGGUGCCUCCAUGCCUCUGAGGAUGGAGACACCCCUAGCCCUGCUGGCCUCCGGGGCAGUGGCAACCUGCUUUCUCUGGACGGGGACAGGAGGCCUGGGGCCCUGAGGGCAGCCCCCUCCUGGGAAGCCAGGCCCGACUGCCCCCAGGGAAAGACAGGAAGUGUGGUUUCAGACCCCUGGCCCUGCCCCACAGGUGGCUGUGAGUGUGAGGGGCAGGACAGCCAGAGUGGCUGUAACUGGGGGUGAGAGGAAGCGGUGCAGGUUAAGGGCACGUGGACCCUGAACUGCCCAUGGACAGCCUUCUGUGGAGCAAGGAUGGGAACCCGGGUGUCCUGGCUCCCAGGCCAGGCUUGGGUCCUCAGGCACUCCUAGGUUGGUGGAUUUUCUCCGACAGACCAGGGGGCUGCAUCGGACCCUGCGGCCCCCAGAGAGGGCUUCCCUGGUGCCAUUGGGCGGGUGAGUAGGGCGCGGCUGGGAGAGCUGGCUCCACCCCCUCCACCCACAGCCCCACCGGGUUCUUUGUCCAACCCACGCUGCUGGAGGGAGAGGAGAAAGCACCUUAUAAGCAGCCCCUCCACCAGGACACUGACAAGCGCGUUUAACAGAGAAGUUUGACAGCAUGCCCCCCUGCGUGGAAUGACCUUCAGAGGCUUGCCCACAGCCCCCGCUUCAGUGCAGAAAGGACCCCUCCUGCGGGGCUGGCCCCGUGGCCGAGUGGUUAAGUUCGCGCGCUCUGCUGCAGGCGGCCCAGUGUUUCGUUGGUUCGAAUCCUGGGCGCGGACAUGGCACUGCUCAUCAGACCACGCUGAGGCAGCGUCCCACAUGCCACAACUAGAAGAACCCACAACAAAGAAUACACAACUAUGUACCGGGGGGCUUUGGGGAGAAAAAUGAAAAAAUAAAAUCUUUAAAAAAAAAAAAAAAAAAAGAAA
RNAcentral lists this long non-coding RNA (951 nucleotides) under Equus caballus (horse). RNAcentral's name for it is "lncRNA (ENSECAG00000057346.1)". Lineage: Eukaryota; Metazoa; Chordata; Mammalia; Perissodactyla; Equidae. The record is from RNAcentral.